This is a non-coding RNA of Schistosoma haematobium, 48 nucleotides long. NCBI's taxonomy places the organism in Eukaryota, Metazoa, Platyhelminthes, Trematoda, Strigeidida, Schistosomatidae. The record is from Rfam.
GUCUAGCUGACGAGUCCCAAACUGGACGAAACGCACAUCAAACUAGAU